GCUAGCUACAGGCUUAACACAUGCAAGUCGAGGGGCAGCAUGGUCUUAGCUUGCUAAGGCCGAUGGCGACCGGCGCACGGGUGAGUAACACGUAUCCAACCUGCCGUCUACUCUUGGACAGCCUUCUGAAAGGAAGAUUAAUACAAGAUGGCAUCAUGAGUCCGCAUGUUCACAUGAUUAAAGGUAUUCCGGUAGACGAUGGGGAUGCGUUCCAUUAGAUAGUAGGCGGGGUAACGGCCCACCUAGUCUUCGAUGGAUAGGGGUUCUGAGAGGAAGGUCCCCCACAUUGGAACUGAGACACGGUCCAAACUCCUACGGGAGGCAGCAGUGAGGAAUAUUGGUCAAUGGGCGCAGGCCUGAACCAGCCAAGUAGCGUGAAGGAUGACUGCCCUAUGGGUUGUAAACUUCUUUUAUAAAGGAAUAAAGUCGGGUAUGGAUACCCGUUUGCAUGUACUUUAUGAAUAAGGAUCGGCUAACUCCGUGCCAGCAGCCGCGGUAAUACGGAGGAUCCGAGCGUUAUCCGGAUUUAUUGGGUUUAAAGGGAGCGUAGAUGGAUGUUUAAGUCAGUUGUGAAAGUUUGCGGCUCAACCGUAAAAUUGCAGUUGAUACUGGAUAUCUUGAGUGCAGUUGAGGCAGGCGGAAUUCGUGGUGUAGCGGUGAAAUGCUUAGAUAUCACGAAGAACUCCGAUUGCGAAGGCAGCCUGCUAAGCUGCAACUGACAUUGAGGCUCGAAAGUGUGGGUAUCAAACAGGAUUAGAUACCCUGGUAGUCCACACGGUAAACGAUGAAUACUCGCUGUUUGCGAUAUACUGCAAGCGGCCAAGCGAAAGCGUUAAGUAUUCCACCUGGGGAGUACGCCGGCAACGGUGAAACUCAAAGGAAUUGACGGGGGCCCGCACAAGCGGAGGAACAUGUGGUUUAAUUCGAUGAUACGCGAGGAACCUUACCCGGGCUUAAAUUGCAGAUGAAUUACGGUGAAAGCCGUAAGCCGCAAGGCAUCCGUGAAGGUGCUGCAUGGUUGUCGUCAGCUCGUGCCGUGAGGUGUCGGCUUAAGUGCCAUAACGAGCGCAACCCUUGUUGUCAGUUACUAACAGGUUCCGCUGAGGACUCUGACAAGACUGCCAUCGUAAGAUGUGAGGAAGGUGGGGAUGACGUCAAAUCAGCACGGCCCUUACGUCCGGGGCUACACACGUGUUACAAUGGGGGGUACAGAGGGCCGCUACCACGCGAGUGGAUGCCAAUCCCAAAAACCUCUCUCAGUUCGGGCUGGAGUCUGCAACCCGACUCCACGAAGCUGGAUUCGCUAGUAAUCGCGCAUCAGCCACGGCGCGGUGAAUACGUUCCCGGGCCUUGUACACACCGCCCGUCAAGCCAUGGGAGCCGGGGGUACCUGAAGUGCGUAACCGCGAGGAGCGCCCUAGGGUAAAACUGGUGACUGGGGCUAA
This 1445-nucleotide ribosomal RNA is filed under the name uncultured organism. RNAcentral's name for it is "SSU rRNA". It matches the Rfam family "Bacterial small subunit ribosomal RNA". The record is from RNAcentral.